Molecule: ribosomal RNA, 497 nt
Filed under: uncultured bacterium
Lineage: Bacteria
Description: partial 16S ribosomal RNA
Rfam family: Bacterial small subunit ribosomal RNA
Source: RNAcentral
GACGAACGCUGGCGGCGUGCCUAAUACAUGCAAGUUGAGCGCUGAAGGUUGGUACUUGUACCAACUGGAUGAGCAGCGAACGGGUGAGUAACGCGUGGGGAAUCUGCCUUUGAGCGGGGGACAGCAUUUGGAAACGAAUGCUAAUACCGCAUAAAAACUUUAAACACAAGUUUUAAGUUUGAAAGAUGCAAUUGCAUCACUCAAAGAUGAUCCCGCGUUGUAUUAGCUAGUUGGUGAGGUAAAGGCUCACCAAGGCGAUGAUACAUAGCCGACCUGAGAGGGUGAUCGGCCACAUUGGGACUGAGACACGGCCCAAACUCCUACGGGAGGCAGCAGUAGGGAAUCUUCGGCAAUGGACGAAAGUCUGACCGAGCAACGCCGCGUGAGUGAAGAAGGUUUUCGGAUCGUAAAACUCUGUUGGUAGAGAAGGACGUUGGUGAGAGUGGAAAGCUCAUCAAGUGACGGUAACUACCCAGAAAGGGACGGCUAACUACGUG